CGAUGCGAUCAUACCAAGCACUAAUGCAGCGGAUCCCAUCAGAACUCCGAAGUUAAGCGUGCUUGGCGAGAGUAGUACUAGGAUGGGUGACCCCCUGGAAGUCCUCGUGUUGCAUCCC
Molecule: ribosomal RNA, 118 nt
Filed under: Ipomoea nil (Japanese morning glory)
Lineage: Eukaryota; Viridiplantae; Streptophyta; Magnoliopsida; Solanales; Convolvulaceae
Source: RNAcentral